CAGCCGCCGCGGUAAUACGUAGGGUGCAAGCGUUAAUCGGAAUUACUGGGCGUAAAGCGUGCGCAGGCGGUUAUAUAAGUCAGAUGUGAAAUCCCCGGGCUCAACCUGGGAACUGCAUUUGAGACUGUAUGGCUAGAGUGUGUCAGAGGGGGGUAGAAUUCCACGUGUAGCAGUGAAAUGCGUAGAUAUGUGGAGGAAUACCGAUGGCGAAGGCAGCCCCCUGGGAUAACACUGACGCUCAUGCACGAAAGCGUGGGGAGCAAACAGGAUUAGAUACCCGCGUAGUCCCUGUCUCUUAUAC
Molecule: ribosomal RNA, 301 nt
Filed under: uncultured bacterium
Lineage: Bacteria
Description: partial 16S ribosomal RNA
Rfam family: Bacterial small subunit ribosomal RNA
Source: RNAcentral